This 463-nucleotide ribosomal RNA is filed under the name uncultured bacterium. RNAcentral describes it as "partial 16S ribosomal RNA". It matches the Rfam family "Bacterial small subunit ribosomal RNA", at positions 339 to 795 of the family's 1533-position model. The record is from RNAcentral.
CUACGGGCUGCUGCAGUAGGGAAUUUUCGUCAAUGGGGGGAACCCUGAACGAGCAAUGCCGCGUGAGCGAAGAAGGUCUUCGGAUCGUAAAGCUCUGUUGUAAGAGAAAAACAAUGACCAUAGGAAAUGAUGGUCAUAUGAUGGUAUCUUACCAGAAAGUCACGGCUAACUACGUGCCAGCAGCCGCGGUAAUACGUAGGUGGCGAGCGUUAUCCGGAAUGAUUGGGCGUAAAGGGUGCGUAGGCGGCAAGAUAAGUCUGAAGUCAAAGCUGGCAGCUCAACUGUCAUACGCUUUGGAAACUGUCUGGCUAGAGUGCAGAAGAGGGCAAUGGAACUCCAUGUGUAGCGGUAAAAUGCGUAGAUAUAUGGAAGAACACCGGUGGCGAAGGCGGUUGCCUGGUCUGUAACUGACGCUGAGGCACGAAAGCGUGGGGAGCAAAUAGGAUUAGAUACCCCGGUAGUC